This is a long non-coding RNA of Oxyura jamaicensis (ruddy duck), 3813 nucleotides long. RefSeq lists it as uncharacterized. The transcript is spliced from 3 exons. The record is from RefSeq and is a predicted model, not a curated record. NCBI's taxonomy places the organism in Eukaryota, Metazoa, Chordata, Aves, Anseriformes, Anatidae.
GUUUCGUUUUUCUUUAAUCCAUAUUCAAACUUCACUGGUAACUUCUUAUUUUUAAGGCUGUGAUUGCAGUCUGAUUCUUUAUUUUCUUCCUGGAAUUUUCUCAGUUUACCGUUUAUGUAACUGAUGCGACAAACCCUGCCUUACUGUAUAUGAUUUGCGGGUAAAAGUCGCCGUCCCUCCCUUAAUGAAACCCAGUUGUUUACUUUCGGUUCGGAUCUGAUUCAUGUGCUAUAAUCGCCAGUUCAGGACUUAAUAGAGCUGGUCACAGCUUUUCAGAACGGCCCACACAGUGUAAAUCCCAUCUGGAAAUAUGUUUUUGUUCUGACCUGGAAUGGAAGCAAGUAUGUACAAGCAUUCCUGCAAACUGGAAAUCCAAAAUAUGUUGCGGUUGCACGUACUGGUGGAAAAAAUACUGAUCUUGUAACUUGCAUGUAGGCAUUUCGUUCUGAGCUCUGUUUUCUUUUGUAAUGCGUUCUGUUUUCAACGCGACGUCCCAACAGGAGCCAUCUGAUGACACCCCGGUGACAGCUGCAGAUGCUAGGACAGCGGUUCUGCCCCAUUGCAAGGGGAAAUGAGAUAAGCAAGGAAAAAAAGGGUAGGAUGCUGCAUGCUGUAAUAUUUGGGAGCAGCGAAAAGGGCUCUGGAGCGUCCUAGAAGUGCACUCGUGUAUGACACCAGGCUUUGCAUGUCAUUGGCAAAUGUAGAAAUCGUACAGGCAAAACACGUAUGUGGAAAGAGGAAACAAAAUCCCCCGGUCCGGUGUGAAACAUUGGAAUUUUGAAAUGAAAUUCCCAGAUCUUACAGCGUUGGGUUCCUGAGAGGAGAAACGUGCGCUUCAGUCUCUCUGGGGGAUGUGUUUGCGAGCAGCAUGGCUCUGGAGCACGCUGUUUGUAAUCAAGUAUCUCUGAUUAAAAGAAUGUUGAUGAAAGACUUCUGACCCAUCUCAAAAGCUUUAGAGCUAUUUCCCUCUUCUCUCAGUUUCUGCUGACUCCAGACGCUCGUGCUGUCAACGUUAUUUAGGAAUACCAUUUUUCCACGUUCAGUGCCGUUUUCUGAUAAAGUAAUAAUGGCAGAAAAAAAAAAUACCCUGCUGACAUGUUGAAGGCUGCCCAGGACUGCUGUGAGCAAGGUGACAUUUGCAGACAUGUGGGGUUUAGGUGGCUGCAUUCCCUCGUUAGCAGUUUUUAAUUGGCAUAUGGCGUGUCCGUGUGGCAGUGCAAGGAUUUCAGUAGGGCUGACCGACCCAGCUCCGGGCUAAUACAGCUGUUAUUUUAUUUUGCUUUCUACUACCCACGUAACUCCUGUAGACGUUUGGCUCCAGCUGUGCUGUGCUGGUCUAGAUGUGCAGUGAAAGGAGAUCUCGGAGCCCUGGCACCCCGCAGCAAGCUGCGUGUAGCCAUCGAGCCACCUCCACCCCACUCCAUCCUGGGAUGCGGGUGUCUCACAUCCCUGCUCCGUGCCAGCCGGCGGUGGAGGUGACCUGCCCGUGAGUCACUGCAGCGACUGCCUGCAGCUUUCCGCUCCUUGGCCCCUUCUAUUUUCGUGUCCAGCAAUUAUGAGGUGAGCCGUGAAUCACCACCAGUGUCUCGCUUUGCUCCGGGAGGAAACCAGGCAAGUUGCGUUAACGUGCUUGGCAGGAGGGCUUCUUGUUCUCCAGCCUUUUACAGGUUUUGGCCUCUUCUUCUCGUUCCCCGGGGCGACAUGCUCAUGUGUAGCCAUCACACAGGAUCUGAGCAAUGGCCAGACAGCCUCAGGCUCCUUCCAGCCAGGUCUCCUGGGCAGGAAGGGAUGCUUCAAAUGCCUGGGGGUCUCCCAAGGGCUUCCAAAGGCUUUUGUUGAUUCAUCCAUCCGGCCUGUGCACACAGGGUUUAGAUCAGAAAGAAGCAUCAGAUGGAGAGCUCAGAAGGAGGAAAAAUAACCCGUGUUGACACUGGCCUUCCCAGCAGCUGAUCGUGCAACAUUUCUGCCAUUCGCAGGGACAGUCGUGCCCCGAGGCUUGUUCUCCUCUCUUUGCCAUGCGGCGUGGUGCACAGCAGCACAGCUGCAUCAAAAUUCACCAGUAGGGCCAGGGGGGAAUCGCUGACCUCAUUCUGUAAGGCUUUGGGGAUCAGUCAGGAGAGGAAGGUGCAGGAGUUUGCUGCUGCUUUCUGUGAGACCCGCAGUGAUGCUGCCCCAGAGCUGGGGGCAUGAUUUUGCAUCCAGGAGUCCCCAGGCUGCAAGGGAGCCUGCUGGGGAUUGUCAGGCUGCCCCAGAGGGGAUGGAGGAGCCGUAAACCCACAGGAAUUUGAAAAACCUGCUUUAAUUUAGGAGGAAUGUCCUUUUGUUCCCAAAUGGAUGGGCCCUGCUCCAGAGGUGUUCAGGUGCAGUAACCGUUACCAGAUGGGCUGUGCAAUGCCACACAAACAGGUGGUGAGGACAACAGCCGUAGGCUUCAAUUUCCUCGUCAGCUUCUCUCUGUGCCUUACGUGCCCCUGGAGAAGGGCAGGAUGAGGGGAGCUGUCAGAUCGCUGUCUGGCGGCAGGAAGGAUGGUUGGGGGUUAUUCUGCAACUGCAUACGGUGGUUUGAGCCAUGGUGAGACUGUCAUCUGGGCCCAGGGGCUUAUUAAUUAACAUCAAAUACAAUUUACUGGCAUGUGCCUUUUUUAGGUACAAUAAUGAGUGGACGUUGAUGUGUAUUCCUGGGCAUAUUGGCGUAGAUCCUCCCAGGUAGGGCUGCUCUGACAUUGCCCACCCAGUGUGCUUGGGAGCAUGAAACGCCUUGCUGGUUUGGGUGGGAUCCCAUACAUGCACAGGGUUAAGUGGUGUCCUGAAAUCCAGGGACCGGGACCCUUAACUAAGGACAAACGCAAGGCAAUGGCAUUCCAGUCCUGCUGGCAGCUCGAGGCUGCUUUAUGGGGUCAGCCGUGGCCUCCUGCUCCCGCAGGCUGGUGCCUUGCUCUCUUCUUGCUUCCGUGUGGCUUCCCAUGGUGGCUGAAGUGUUUGUUGUACUGGCGAGUGGUUAUAUUUCAGCACAGGUAGGCUAUCAGGAAAAAAAAAAAUAGUUUUGUAACCUCCAGCUUGUGCUAAUGAAGAGGAUUCAGAUCUCUGGAGCCGUCACUCACUGCUUGCCCUGCACGUUCGUAGCUCCACCACGGGGAGAUGGUGCAGAGCGGCUAUCUGCUAAGGGUUACUGAGCUGCUGAGAGUUUCGGAGUUACUCUGGUGACUCUAGGUGCAGGCAGUGGGACUCCAGACGUAUGGAUGAACUGGUUUACUGCCAGACUAAAUACAAGCCAGGCACAACACAAUAUGUGUACCUACGGGACGACGUUUGCUGCUCACCACCUUGCUGGCAAGGGAAGGGACCGCUGGGGAGUACACAACAAUUCUUCAGCCAGCAAUAUCCAAUGUUCAUAUGCUCAGCCUCUCCCUCACUGGGCUUUUUGUUCCCCGUCAUGAUGCUAUCCACGUCCAACUCCCUGUCUUUGUGUGUCCUUGUGUGAGCAUACAAGUGAAAAGUUUUGUGCUUGUCUCUUUGAUGCACAGAGUGGUACUGCCUCGGCUGUAGCCAAGCCCGGAGUCACGGCUGGUUCCUUGCCCUUUUCUUACACAGAGCUGUGCACACCUCCUCAGGCAGUGAGAGCUGGCCUGGGCCUCAUGCUUCCCCCUGAGGACUCUGUUAUGUCCCUCUAAAAAACGUGAAGUCCAGGGCUUCGUGGUUCUUCAUGCUCAGGAAAGGUUUCCAGCAUUGUCAGAGUGGGGAGAUGCAUUUUUACUGUUUAGUUUCUUUUUAGAGGUAAGGAAGCUGAGGGAUGGGGUAGCUAUAGAUCUGGCC